AUACGGGGGGAGCAAGCGUUGUCCGGAAUCAUUGGGCGUAAAGGGCGCGUAGGCGGCCUGACAAGUCAGGGGUGAAAUCCCUCGGCUCAACCGAGGAACUGCCUCUGAAACUGUCAGGCUUGAGGCCGGGAGAGGGUAGUGGAAUUCCCAGUGUAGCGGUGAAAUGCGUAGAUAUUGGGAGGAACACCAGUGGCGAAGGCGGCUACCUGGACCGGUUCUGACGCUGAGGCGCGAAAGUGUGGGGAGCAAACAGGAUUAGAUACCCUAGUAGUCC
Molecule: ribosomal RNA, 274 nt
Filed under: uncultured bacterium
Lineage: Bacteria
Description: partial 16S ribosomal RNA
Rfam family: Bacterial small subunit ribosomal RNA
Source: RNAcentral